Molecule: transfer RNA, 75 nt
Filed under: Hahella chejuensis KCTC 2396
Lineage: Bacteria; Pseudomonadati; Pseudomonadota; Gammaproteobacteria; Oceanospirillales; Hahellaceae
Also listed under: 2 other names
Description: tRNA-Cys (GCA) (tRNA-Cys-GCA-1-1)
Rfam family: tRNA
About the family: Transfer RNA (tRNA) molecules are approximately 80 nucleotides in length. Their secondary structure includes four short double-helical elements and three loops (D, anti-codon, and T loops).
Source: RNAcentral
GAGGUCGUGGCAGAGCGGUAAUGCAUCAGUCUGCAAAACUGACGAUCGCGGGUUCAAAUCCCGCCGACCUCUCCA